AGAAAGAUAAUAUGAUAUCUAUGUCGUUCACUUAUUUAGAAUAAAUUCAGUUAGGAAUGUGAAACAGUUAGGUUUCGAAAUUUUGGACCUUGAGUAUUAAUCACUAAGUUCUUAUGAUAUAUCGGAUGGAAAUAAAAUUGUGAUGUGAUAUAUAAGAGAUCAUGGACACUAGUAUUAACUAGUGGAUUUAAAUAUUUUAGGCCGGUAGUUUUGAGUUCAACGAAUUAUUAUUAUUAGUGGGCUGAGUAGUUAUAGUUCUUAGGCUUCGUUUGGGAUUGCACGGGGAUUACGUUACGUGCGGUGAGAAAGUACGUUAGAAAAAUAUCCUGUUUGUUUUCGUACGUAAUAUUGUGUUCCGCAUAUCGCGAUGAGUCGGUUACGAUAUAUUUUCUGCAGUCCCACCGGAGAACGCAGAAAUAUAUCCCUACAUGUUUUUUCCUUAACUCCAUUUUAUCUAAUAGCGUUAGAUAGACCUCAAUAUCAAACUAAGCCUUAGUCAACUAUGUUAGGUACAUACGAUCGGUGGUACGGAAGUAGAUGUUUUAAUUUAGAAAAUUUUAUUAUGCAAAAGAGUAAGUUGUUGAAAUGAAUUAUUAUAAUACCAUAAUACUUUUGGAGUUAAGAAAAUCAUCUUUUUAUUUUCAUAUUUUUCUCGAUGAUGAAAUAUCUAAAUUGACAAUCAACACUAUAGAUUAUUAUCUGCAAUAUUUUUUAAAAUUGAAUUUUACGAUUGUAUAACAUU
RNAcentral lists this long non-coding RNA (742 nucleotides) under Ananas comosus (pineapple). Its description in RNAcentral is "long non-coding RNA (ACOM_LNC005009)". The record is from RNAcentral. Lineage: Eukaryota; Viridiplantae; Streptophyta; Magnoliopsida; Poales; Bromeliaceae.